GGAGCUUGGGGUAGAGCCGCUGCUCCUUCGCAUUGAAAGGAGCCAGCUGAGGUUGUUCAGGCAUCUGGUAAGGAUGCCCCAUGAGUGCCUCCCUAGGGAGGUGUUUCAGGCAUGACCAUCUUGGAGGAGACCCAGAGGAAGAUUCAGGAUUAGGUGGAGAGAUUAUAUCUCCACAUGGGCCUGGGAACGCCUCAGAAUCCCCCAGUCAGAGCAGAACAGGAAAAUCA
Thalassophryne amazonica is the source of this 227-nucleotide long non-coding RNA. RefSeq lists it as uncharacterized. NCBI's taxonomy places the organism in Eukaryota, Metazoa, Chordata, Actinopteri, Batrachoidiformes, Batrachoididae. The record is from RefSeq and is a predicted model, not a curated record. The transcript is spliced from 3 exons.